AUACACACACACAUAAAUCUGUGCAAACACUUACUAACGCACACACGUUUGCAUGAUAAUGCUGAUAAUAAUGUUAUGGAAGAGCGGUGUCUUCUGACACAGAAGUAGUUUUCCUACUUCUAAAAGAAGGCUCCAACCUCAUAAGAGUUACUGUAGACCUAAGUUAUUUGAAA
This is a long non-coding RNA of Maniola jurtina (meadow brown), 173 nucleotides long. RefSeq lists it as uncharacterized. The transcript is spliced from 3 exons. NCBI's taxonomy places the organism in Eukaryota, Metazoa, Arthropoda, Insecta, Lepidoptera, Nymphalidae. The record is from RefSeq and is a predicted model, not a curated record.